RNAcentral lists this ribosomal RNA (482 nucleotides) under uncultured bacterium. RNAcentral describes it as "partial 16S ribosomal RNA". It matches the Rfam family "Bacterial small subunit ribosomal RNA", at positions 30 to 507 of the family's 1533-position model. The record is from RNAcentral.
AUUGAACGCUGGCGGCAUGCCUUACACAUGCAAGUCGAACGGUAACAGGUCUUCGGAUGCUGACGAGUGGCGAACGGGUGCGUAAUACAUCGGAACGUGCCCGAUCGUGGGGGAUAACGGAGCGAAAGCUUUGCUAAUACCGCAUACGAUCUACGGAUGAAAGCAGGGGACCGCAAGGCCUUGCGCGGACGGAGCGGCCGAUGGCAGAUUAGGGAGUUGGUGGGAUAAAAGCUUACCAAGCCGACGAUCUGUAGCUGGUCUGAGAGGACGACCAGCCACACUGGGACUGAGACACGGCCCAGACUCCUACGGGAGGCAGCAGUGGGGAAUUUUGGACAAUGGGCGAAAGCCUGAUCCAGCCAUGCCGCGUGCAGGAUGAAGGCCUUCGGGUUGUAAACUGCUUUUGUACGGAACGAAAAGACUCUUUCUAAUAAAGAGGGUCCAUGACGGUACCGUAAGAAUAAGCACCGGCUAACUACGUG